GCCUGGGAGGGUAAUGCAGAACUUAACCCAUAUCCUUAAAAUAACACUCACCUUUAGAAAUGUUUACUAAUGACAAUCUACAAACACAUACUUCUAAAUAAUUGC
Long non-coding RNA from Nanorana parkeri, 105 nucleotides. RefSeq lists it as uncharacterized. The record is from RefSeq and is a predicted model, not a curated record. The transcript has 3 exons. NCBI's taxonomy places the organism in Eukaryota, Metazoa, Chordata, Amphibia, Anura, Dicroglossidae.